This is a long non-coding RNA of Oncorhynchus kisutch (coho salmon), 4385 nucleotides long. RefSeq lists it as uncharacterized. Lineage: Eukaryota; Metazoa; Chordata; Actinopteri; Salmoniformes; Salmonidae. The transcript is spliced from 3 exons. The record is from RefSeq and is a predicted model, not a curated record.
UCCUGUUGUCAAACCUUCACACGAUACAAUGCAGAAAGGUUUGACAUUACAAUGAAGAUCAGACAUUGGUCAAUGUUUUUGUUUUACACCAACUUCACGGAGACGCCUCAGCAGAGAAAUUAUGGGAAUCCUCAUGCCAACACAUCAGACCAACAGCUACAGGAUGGGAAUGAUGCCAUAAACUAUGCUGCCCUGAAGUUCACUGACAAGAAUAGUACCAGGCCAGGAGACAGAGGAGAGAAUGGAGAGAACAGAGAGAGGAAGAAACCAUCUACUCGGGUGUGAGUCAUCAAGACAGGGUGUAACAGAGUUGGGUCAUCCAAUCAGCAUCAUUCUAAGUUAAGCCCCAUCCCUCCUCUGAACUCCAAUUUGAUCUUGACAUUGUCCUUGUGACCUCGCUAUUUUGUACACUUCUGAUUUACCGUAGGAUGUCAUUGCAGGGGCCUAAUUUUGCUGAAUAUAUACAGUACCAGUCAAACGUUUGGACACAACUACUCAUUCAAUGGUUUUUCUUUAUUUUUACUCUUUUCUACAUUGUAGAAUAAUAGUGAAGACAUCAAAACCAGCUCUAACCAAAAGAAUGUUAAACAAAUAAAAAUAUAUUUUAUAUUUGAGAUUCUUCAAAGUAGCCACCCAGUAUCUACCGCUGCUGUCUCUAGAGAGUUGAAAACAGCAGGUCUGGGACAGGUAGCACGUUCAGUGAACAGGUCAGGAUCCCAUAGCCACGGGCAGAGCAGUUGAAACUGGAGCAGCAGCAAGACCAGGUGGACUGGGGACAGCAAGGAAUCAUCAGGCCAGUUAGUCCUGCUACAGAGAGAAAAGAAAGAAAGAAAGAAAGAAAGAAAGAGAGGAAGAAAGAGAGAAAGAGAGAGAAAAAGAGAGAGAGAAUUAGAGAGAGCAUGCUUAAAUUCACACAGGACACAAGAUAAGACAGGGAGAAAUACUCCAAAUAUUACAGACUGACCCUAGCCACCUGAUACAUAAACUAUUGCAGCAUAAAUACUGGAGGCUGAGACAGGAGGGGUUGGGAGACACUGUGGCCCCGUCCGACGAUACCCCCGGACAGGGUCAAACAGGACAUAUGUACCAGUAGUCUCAGCCACCGACCCAAAUGAUGAAAAAAUACAAACCAUUAACUCUGACUUUAUAGUAUUUUAAGACAUACAGUGCAUUCGGGAAGUAUUCAGACCCCUUGACUUUUUCCACAUUUUGUUACAUUACAUUCUUAUUAAAAAUGUAUUUUAAUAUGUUUUUUCCUCAUCAAUCUAAACACAAUACCCCAUAAUGACAAAGUGAAAACCGGUUUUUGGAAGAAAAUAAAGAAAUCUUACAAAUAAAAAGCUGUGAUACAUUAUUUACAUAAUUAUUCAGACCCUUUGCCAUGAGACUUGAAAUUGAGCUCAGGUCCAUCCUGUUUCAUUGAGAUGUUUCUAGAAAUUGAUUGGAGUCCACCUGUGGUAAAUGCAAUUGAUUGGGCAUGAUUUGGAAAGGCACACACCUGUCUAUAAAAAGGUCCCACAGUUGACAGUGCAGAGCAAAAAUCUAGCCAUGAGGUCGAAGGAAUUGUCCGUAGAGCUACGAGACAGGAUUGUGUCGAGGAACAGAUCUGGGGAAUGGUACCAAAAUAUUUCUGCAGCAUUGAAGGUCCCCAAGAACACAGUGGCCUCCAUCAGUCUUAAAUGGAAAAUGUUUAGAACCCCCAAGACUCUUCCUAGAGCUGAGCAAUCUGGGGAGAAGGGCCUUGGUCAGGGAGGUUGUCACUCAACCCGAUGGUCACUUUGACAGAGCUCCAGAAUUCCUCUGUGGAGAUGGGAGAAGCUUCCAGAAGGACAACCAUCUCUGCAGCAGUCUACCCAUUAGGCCUUUAUCAUAGAGUGGCCAGACAGAAGCCACUCCCCAGUAAAAUGCACGACAGCCCGCUUGGUUUGCCAAGAGACACCGAAAGGACUCUCACCAUGAGAAACAAGAUUCUCUGGUCUGAUGAAACCAAGAUUGUCUUAACAAGAGAUGGUCACGGUUGUUUUAUACAGGUAUCCUUGAUUUAGUUGUGUACUGUUAGCUAGCUAGCUAACGUUAUCUGGCUGGAUUCCUAGCAUUGGAAGUUUAAGACCAUGUUUAACCAUUGUUCUCUCUCUUACCUCUGGUCUUAGAUGUUCAUGGUUGUUUUAUACAGGUAUCCUUGAUUUAGUUGGCGUGGGCUACGGCCAAACAGUUGCCUGUGGUGAGUUGGGUUAAUACACCAGGAAUUGGUGAACACAACGCUCUGUCUGGACAAUUGUUAAUUUAUGAUCUACCCGGGUCAUUACAGUACGUUGUUACUUAUUCUGAUGUUAUGUUAGUUCACAACUGCAUUUACUAUUUUUGCAGUCAGGAUCCAGCAAGUCUAUUUGACAGCAGUCUGUGUCUGAGUCAGUCCAGUGAGGAGACUCUGUGAAUAUGAACUGUACAAUACACACUGAGACCUGUCCAGGAGAAUGGAAAUCCUGAAUGAGAGAUCACUAAAGACUACUGUAUUGUGUUUGCUGUGUUUUUUCCAUAUAUUGUACGUUUUUGGUGAGGUGAAGUGACUGUAUGGUAAUAGAAGCCCUAGUGGAUGACAGUGUCAUAUCAUACAUGUUCCAAAUGUGACUCACCACCUGGAUUCGGUUUUAGGAUUCGGUUUUAGGUAGCAAAAUGUGAAAUGUUGUUUUUUACAUUGGAUAAGAGUAGAUACUCAGAGCUACAAAAUUGUAUAUCAUACACUGCAUUUGAGGAACAAUGGGAAAGUAAUUAUUCUUUGAAAGUUGAUAAACUUGUAAAUUCACUUUUGAGAAAAUCGCCUUUGAAUGUUUUGAUAUCUAGUGAAGCUCUUUUUUGUCUACACCCAUUCAGCAUCGUUCACACUCUCUUAAGCUUUAGUCCCACCCAUUCGUUUUGCUCUUGGAGCGCACACUUGACACUCUGGCCGAUGAUUUGUUUAGUUUUGGAUGACAUGAAAACAGCCUAACCAGCUCUGCUGGCAACAAUUUCAUUACGCUUUUUUGCAGAUGUUUACUGACACCGGCCAUAUACAACGGGUGUCGUAGACACUUCACGUAACGUUAGCUAACGAGACAGCCAGCUAACGUUAGCUAGUUAAACAACAAUGAACAAAGUGCAAACACGGCCUAACUUUAGUCUCUAACUAGAAAAGCAAACAGCUCUGGGAAAUGAAUAAUAAAGUUUGCUACACAGAGCUGUGUCUACAACCUACCCAAGAGGAACUUCAGACUCUCUGAUGCAGGGACUUACUACUGUGCUGUGGCCUCAUGUUAUACAGUGAUACUGUUUGAAAACUUUUCUCAAGGCACACCUGUUAAUUGAAAUGCAUUCCAGGUGACUACCUCAUGAAGCUGGUUGAGAGAAUGCCAAGAGUGUGCAAAGCUGUCAUCAAUCAAAGGGUGGCUACUUUUAAGAAUCUAAAAUAUAAGAUAUAUUUAGAUUUAUUUAACACUGUUUUGGUUACUACAUGAAUACAUAUAUGUUAUUUCAUAGUUUUGAUGUAGAAAAUGUAGAAAAUAAUAAAAAAGAAAGAAAAACCCUUGAAUGAGUAGGUGUGUCAAAACCUUUGACUGGUACCGUUUAUUUAAGGGAUAAUGAACGAGGGGCUAUGCGUUCAGUGGAAAAUAAUGAAUGACGUGGAAGGUGUGGUCCACAAUGUGCUAGCUCAUAGAUAAUAUAUAAUAUAUAUAUAUAUACAUACAUACAUACAGUGGGGAGAACAAGUAUUUGAUACACUGCCCAUUUUGCAGGUUUUCCUACUUACAAAGCAUGUAGAGGUCUGUAAUUUUUUAUCAUAGGUACACUUCAACUGUGAGAGACGGAAUCUAAAAAUCAAAAAUCCAGAAAAUCACAUUGUAUGAUUUUUAAGUAAUUCAUUUGUAUUUUAUUGCAAAGUAUCCUUCCUGAAUUGACUGGAAUUGAAAUGGAAUUGACCCCACCCUUGACUGUAAGGUAACUGAAAUUGUCCUCUACAUUAGCACAACUCCCAUACUGUAACGCCUAUGCAAAUAAGAAUGCAAAUUGAUUAUUUUAUGUCUAAAUCUUAGCAAAAAGUGAGCCCUUUAUCUCUAAACGGUUUACACUGUGGGCAGAUAUUUCCCUCUCCAACUAUGUUCUCUGUCCUGUUAGUUCCAGACAUGUCCAUGCAUCUGAAUGUAUCUCAGCCUGUGAGGACAGAACCAGUGACCCUGGGGGGGUUCUGUGAACCUUGAAUGUUUCUCCACAUUAGACUCAGUGUUAUCCUGGUAAUGGCUGAAACACACCCAAGGACAUGGUCUUUUACCCAUUGUAACAACCUACUAUUAAAAAGUGCAAUUUCAUGUUGCAAAGGAUUAAAUAAACUUUCAUCUGAAACUUUGCCCUCA